UGCCCCACCCCGGGCACACGAGGCCUCCACUGCGGUUGCGCAGCCUGCCGAAGAGCGUGCGGCUUCUACUGCGGCUGCGCAAGCUCGACGCGCGCACUCUUGUCUGCUUACGAGGGCUCCUCCCUUCAGCUUUGGUCCCUCGGGGCGUCUGGGCAGCCUACGCUUUCCGGAUAAAAAUGGCAGAAUGAAAGAAUUAUGAGUGGAACUAGAGAAUAGGAAAGACAUGAACCAACGCCCAAAAUGAGAAAGAAGGACAUAUAAAGAAAAAGACAAAUACAAGUGAAAAAAAUAGACUAAUGGAUUAACGUCCCUGUCGUGUGACAUUUUCUGACUGGAAUCAGCCAUUUUACCAAGAAAGUUGGGUUUCUUUUACUGGCAAAUAGUACUUCAAGAGCACAGUCUUAUGUAAGGGAGCUGUACCAAGUUAUUUUGGGUCAGAAUUCUCCUGGGAUAUCUUUUUUCUUCGCCUUUUUAAACUCGUUUAUUAUAAAAACAAUGUUACCAUAUGCAAAACUAGAAGAGUGUAAUGAAUUCCCGUGUGUCCAUCAUCUAUCUUUAACAGAAGUACAGUCUAUAUAAAGACUGUCCAGGACAAAAACUGGCCACUCCAUUCAGCAUUGACAGCAGUAUUUAAAGCUGGUGCAUGGUGAGGUGAAGUUUCUCAAGGGCAAAGACAAUGCCUUCAUGCAUGUUCAGUGUCUGCCCCCGUGGGCUUUGAAAUGAUCGCUGACAAUGGGGGAUCUGCAGUGACUUCUCUGCCUCUGCCAAAGCCCAGGGGUGCUGCUCCCUAAUUCUAAGGAUUCUAAUGAGACUCAGAGCAGGUGUAACACAGGGCAUGGAGCUUCCUGAGCAAGAGGCUGGCUAACAAACUGUGGACGUGGUACUUAGACACAUUAAGAGACAUUACAGGGACACCUGCAAGUAUGUCUCCCUGGGGAGAAGCCAAGUGCAGAUGCUAUGGCCACAGAUGAUAUGGUUUGGCUCUGUGUCCCCACUCAAAUCUCAUCUCAAGUUGUAAUCCCUGGAUGUCGAGGGAGGGACCUGGUGGGAGGUGAUUGGAUUGGUUCGCAUGAUAGUGAGGGAGUUCUCACGAGAUCUGGUUGUUUGAUAAGUGUCUGGCAUUUCUCCUGUGCUGUCUCUCCUGCCACCUUGUGAAGAAGGUGCCUGCUUCUCCUUCGCCUUCCGCCAUGAUUGUAAGUUUCCUGAGGCCUCCCUAGCAAUGCAGAACUGUGAGUCAAUUAAACUUCCUUUCUUUAUAAAUUACCCAGUCUCGAAUGGUAUCUUUAUACCAAUGUAAGAACAGACUAAUACAGACAGGGACCACAAAGCAAGAAUUUAGGGCCUGAAGAGUCUUCAGCAUUGAAAAUCUUCACUCAGAAUCCCUGGUCCCUGCAUUGAGAGCACUGGGUAGAUCACUGAACUCCC
RNAcentral lists this long non-coding RNA (1425 nucleotides) under Homo sapiens (human). Its description in RNAcentral is "HSALNT0405496". The stretch from base 8 to 169 matches the Rfam family "TTC28 antisense RNA 1 conserved region 1". The record is from RNAcentral. Lineage: Eukaryota; Metazoa; Chordata; Mammalia; Primates; Hominidae.